AGCUUUGCACAGAGGCAGUAUCAUUGCCAAUGAGGUUUAUCCGAGGCAUGAUUAUUGCUCAUUGAAAUUAGAGUAGUCAACCAUAAUUUGCAUGUAUGCAGCAAAAAUUUAAACUUUCUCAAUAUAUUGUUUUUAGCAAUAAAUUUUA
Molecule: small nuclear RNA, 148 nt
Organism: Ailuropoda melanoleuca (giant panda)
Lineage: Eukaryota; Metazoa; Chordata; Mammalia; Carnivora; Ursidae
Gene: U4
Rfam family: U4 spliceosomal RNA
About the family: U4 small nuclear RNA (U4 snRNA) is a component of the major U2-dependent spliceosome. The structure of U4 snRNA from yeast and human has been reported.
Source: Ensembl